Molecule: ribosomal RNA, 1268 nt
Filed under: Sclerotia substriata
Lineage: Eukaryota; Metazoa; Arthropoda; Insecta; Coleoptera; Lampyridae
Description: 16S ribosomal RNA
Rfam family: Archaeal large subunit ribosomal RNA (bases 1029-1187)
Source: RNAcentral
UUAUAAAUUAAAUUAUUAUUAUUAUUUAAUUAAAGUAUUUUUUUAUUUAUUAUUUUAAUAGAAAAAUUAUUUUUUAUUAUAGUUUAUUAGUAAAGUGAUUGAACUUUUAUUAUGUUUUAAAAAGAAAAAUUAAUUUUUUGUACCUUGUGUAUCAGGGUUAAUUAAUUUAUUUAUUAAUAUUAAUUGAUCUCGAAUUAAAAAGUUCUAAUUAAUUAUAUGUUUAAUUUUUUCAUAAAUUUUCUUAAUUUUUAGUUAGAAAUGAAACGUUAUUCGUUUUUUAAUAUAUCUAGUUUUUUAAGAAAAGAAUUUAAUUCUCUUAUUAUUUAUUUAUUAUCUAAUUUUUAGUUAAUAAUUUUUAGUAUGAAAUAUUUAAAGGGAUGAGCUUUUAUUUUUAUAAUUAAAAAUUUAUUUUGUUAAUAUAUAUUGUAUAAUUUAAAUUGUUAAUCAUUUGAAUAAUUUAAUAUUUAAUUUUAUUAGAUUUUAUUAUUUAUAUUUAUUUUAAUUUUUAUAUUAAAAAAUUUUGUUUAAUGUUUUUUCUUUAUUUAUAAUGAUUAAAUUAGUAGAUUUAUUUUUAUUAUUAAUUUUUUAUUUUAGGUAAUAAAAAGGAACUCGGCAAAAUAAUUUUUCGCCUGUUUAUUAAAAACAUGUCUUUUUGAUUAUAAUUUAAGGUUUAAAUCUGCUCAAUGAGUUGUUAAAUUGCCGCAGUAUUUUGACUGUGCAAAGGUAGCAUAAUAAUUAGCUUUUUUAUUGAGAGCUGGAAUGAAUGAUUGGACGAGAAAAUUUCUGUCUCUUUAUUAUUUUUGUUGAAUUUUACUUUUAAGUUAAAAGGCUUAAAUAUUUUUAAAAGACGAGAAGACCCUAUAGAGUUUAAUUUUUAUUUAAUUUAUUAGUUUUUUGGGAUUUGAAAUUUUUAUUUUAAUAAGAAUUUGGUUGGGGUGACCAAAAGAUAAAUUUAACUCUUUUAAUUUUAAUCAUUAAUUUUUGAAUAUAAAAUCUAUUUUUAUAAUUUUAAAAUAAAUUACCUUAGGGAUAACAGCGUAAUUUUUCUUUAGAGUUCUUAUUGAAAGAAAAGCUUGCGACCUCGAUGUUGGAUUAAAAUUUAUUUUAGGUGCAGAAGCUUAAAAAUUGAGUCUGUUCGACUUUUAAAAUUUUACGUGAUCUGAGUUUAAACCGGUGUGAGCCAGGUUGGUUUCUAUCUUUAAUUAUUUAAUAUAUUUUAGUACGAAAGGACCAAAUAUAUAAUAAAUUAUUUUAUUUUGAAUAUUAUU